RNAcentral lists this non-coding RNA (117 nucleotides) under Pan paniscus (pygmy chimpanzee). The record is from Rfam by way of RNAcentral. Lineage: Eukaryota; Metazoa; Chordata; Mammalia; Primates; Hominidae. RNAcentral also lists the same sequence under 1 other name.
GCCAGGUGCGGUGGCGUGCGCCUGUAAUCCCAGCACUUUGGGAGGCUGAGGCAGGUCGAUCACCUGAGGUCAGGAGUUCGAGACCAGCCUGGCCAACAUGGUGAAACCCUGUCUCUA